CAUUACACAAUAAAAUAUGAAGGCCUGGCUUCGCGGCCGGCUGAAAUAUUUUUUCACCCAUGUCUUUUGCGCACUUGUUGUUUCCUGGGCGGGUUCGCCCGCCACCAGGACCAAACCAUAAACCUUUUUCUUAUGCAGUUUCCAUCAGCGUCAGUAAAAACAAUGUAAUAAUUACAACUUUCAACAACGGAUCUCUUGGUUCUGGCAUCGAUGAAGAACGCAGCGAAAUGCGAUACGUAGUGUGAAUUGCAGAAUUCAGUGAAUCAUCGAAUCUUUGAACGCACAUUGCGCCCUUUGGUAUUCCAAAGGGCAUGCCUGUUCGAGCGUCAUUUGUACCUUCAAGCUUUGCUUGGUGUUGGGCGUUUUUGUCUCCCUCUUUCUGGGAGACUCGCCUUAAAACGAUUGGCAGCCGGCCUACUGGUUUCGGAGCGCAGCACAUUUUUUGCGCUUUGUAUCAGGAGAAAAGGACGGUACUCCAUCAAGACUUUUACAAUUUUAACUUUUGACCUCGGAUCAGGUAGGGAUACCCGCUGAACUUAAGCAUAUCAAUAA
RNAcentral lists this small RNA (552 nucleotides) under Bipolaris cynodontis. RNAcentral's name for it is "eukaryotic LSU rRNA". The stretch from base 176 to 329 matches the Rfam family "5.8S ribosomal RNA". The record is from RNAcentral. Lineage: Eukaryota; Fungi; Ascomycota; Dothideomycetes; Pleosporales; Pleosporaceae.